GAUGAACGCUGGCGGCGUGCUUAACACAUGCAAGUCGAACGGACAGGCGCUGCUCUUGUUGGUUGCUCGAGUGGCGAACGGGUGAGUAACACGCGAGUAACCUCCCCCUGUCUUUGUGAUAACUUCACGAAACUGGGGCUAAUACCGGAUAUGAGCUCCUGCUGCACGGUGUUGGUUGGAAAGUUUCGGCGGUUGUGGAUGGACUCGCGGCUUAUCGGCUAGUUUGUGGGGUAGUGGCUUACCAAGGCUUUGACGGGUAGCCGGCAUGAGAGGGUGACCGGCCACAUUGGGACUGAGGUACGGACCAGACUGCUACGGGAGGCAGUAGUCGGGAAUCUUGCGCAAUGGGCGGAAGCCUGAUGCGGAGGCGCCGCGUGCGGGAUGACGGCCUUCGAGUUGUAAACAGCUUUGGCAUGUGACGAAGAGUGAGUGACGGUAAUGAGUAAAGAAGCACCGGCUAACUACGUG
Molecule: ribosomal RNA, 468 nt
Filed under: uncultured bacterium
Lineage: Bacteria
Description: partial 16S ribosomal RNA
Rfam family: Bacterial small subunit ribosomal RNA
Source: RNAcentral